AGAACGAACGCUGGCGGCAGGCCUAACACAUGCAAGUCGAACGCCCCGCAAGGGGAGUGGCAGACGGGUGAGUAACGCGUGGGAACGUACCCUUCGGUUCGGAAUAACCCGGGGAAACUCGGGCUAAUACCGGAUACGUCCGCAAGGAGAAAGAUUUAUCGCCGAAGGAUCGGCCCGCGUCGGAUUAGCUAGUUGGUGGGGUAACGGCCCACCAAGGCGACGAUCCGUAGCUGGUCUGAGAGGAUGAUCAGCCACACUGGGACUGAGACACGGCCCAGACUCCUACGGGAGGCAGCAGUGGGGAAUAUUGGACAAUGGGCGAAAGCCUGAUCCAGCCAUGCCGCGUGAGUGAAGAAGGCCCUAGGGUUGUAAAGCUCUUUCAGCGGGGAAGAUAAUGACGGUACCCGCAGAAGAAGCCCCGGCUAACUUCGUGCCAGCAGCCGC
Molecule: ribosomal RNA, 444 nt
Filed under: uncultured soil bacterium
Lineage: Bacteria
Description: bacterial SSU rRNA
Rfam family: Bacterial small subunit ribosomal RNA
Source: RNAcentral